Molecule: long non-coding RNA, 1765 nt
Organism: Chrysemys picta bellii (western painted turtle)
Lineage: Eukaryota; Metazoa; Chordata; Testudines; Emydidae
Source: Ensembl
AUGGCAUCACUGCUGUUUGAAGCACACAGGCAGGAUGGCACACCGUCCCAGACGCCAUACGAGAGCUUCUUGGAGAGCAAACGGACGGCCCACCCGAACCCCGCCUGGUACAAGCUUGCAAGGAGGAGUCAAGGUCAGCAUUCUGAAGGCAUGAGAGGACAGAGGCUUGAGCCUGUAAUCCUUCCUUAUGGGAGUAACCCUUUCUCAUGCAGGGCUCCCACAGACGUCCUGCACCAGGGCUGAUGGAGGAGGAAGCAUUACUCAAGUUAAAUGAUACGGAGAAAGUAAAAGUCCCAGCAGGUCCAUAGCAGGGCGGGUUGCCGGACUCGGCCCUUUCAAUGCAGGGGGGAUGCGCUUUAACCCCUGUGGCUGCUGAAAGUCUCCGCUUACAGCUAGCUACUCUUUGGGAGCAAUAGAAAGCAGGGGUUAAGUCAGAGCAGCCCUGAGGAUACUGUAAUAUGCGAUGGGAGCUGGGCAGGCCCCUGUAUGGCCCCAGGUAUAUGCUGCCCAAAGGUGCCUUCAAGCCAUCUGAACCCCCCCACACACACACACACACAUACACACCCCUUUACUCUGUGCACUGGAGUGGAGUAACUGAGAAUCAGGCCCAUCAUGUCUCCCACGCCUUAUCUCUGUCCCAGCCAAGCUCUUAACCUCUCUCCCGACUCAGGCCCCCAGCUCCUCACUCAUUAUUGUCUGAAACCCCACCUCCAGCCUGUCUCUAUCAUCCUGAACGGAAUACAGGUACAUCCUACCAGCCAACAGGAGGCUCCUGUGUCUGCCUCUCUCCACAGCGGCCAAGGUGGGAUUUAAAUCCAUGUGUUCUCUUGGCCUGGGGUGGGAGAGCGGGCAGCAUGACAUUCACAGCUAAAUGGGAGGAAGGCAGAGGAACAAAAACUGCUCUUCCAGCAUAUUGUGGGUGGGUGGGGGGAGGCAGCUCCCAUGGUGAGUUCUGCCUUCCGGAGAUAGGAAGCAGACAAGGGCUGGGCUGCACUCAGCAACGUCCUCCUCUGCGCCGGAUGGAGGGAGGCACUUGAUGGCCGACAGCUUUGUUUCCGGUUUAGAAAGGAGGCAAAGCUUUGCAUGAUCCAGUUCUGCAGCUCACAUCCAAACCCAGGGACAAGAUGCUGGAAAGGCCACGUUUAGCCCCGAGAAGGAGGAUUAAAUAGGGGUCCCACAGCAUGCCACGAUUUGAUGGGGCCAUUGGUCCCAACUCCUUCCUCCCCUUGAAACCUCUCACUGACUUCAGUGGCAGCAGGAGGGGGAUGGAUGUGUACAAAUGCAUGAGCCAAGAAGUGUUGUUAGUGUGUCAGAUGGUUUGAUUCAGAAAGCACGUCACGCUUCAAUCCACUAACCGCGAGCACCUUUAGCAAGGGAGUGUUUAGCAUGUCAAGAGCACCUUCAUACGGACAGAUCUCAAAGCAUUUUGCAAAUAAUAGACGAUAAAAUGGCUGACCCUCAUCUGACAGACAAGGAAGACGAUGCACAGAAAGGUUGGAACUCACCCAAGGAAUAGGAACCGCGCUUUCCUGACUCCGGCUCCCCUGCUCUGACCACUAGACCACACAUUCUCCUUCGGGUGCUUGGCAAAAAAGGAGGCCAUCCAGCCUGAUGGUGACAGGAAGCAGAAGAGCCUUGUCUUGAAAUGCAGAAAUCCUGCUCCCAUUAUCUCUCCCAGUUCAUAUUUGCCAACUGAAAACCUGCAAGGAACAGCUUUGAAACAAAGGGAAAUAAAUCACCAUCAGGAGUGCUUGAUGGAUUAACU